RNAcentral lists this ribosomal RNA (765 nucleotides) under uncultured bacterium. RNAcentral's name for it is "bacterial SSU rRNA". It matches the Rfam family "Bacterial small subunit ribosomal RNA", at positions 93 to 844 of the family's 1533-position model. The record is from RNAcentral.
GAGUGGCGAACGGGUGAGUAACACGUGGGUAACCUGCCCAUCAGAAGGGGAUAACACUUGGAAACAGGUGCUAAUACCGUAUAACACUAUUUUCCGCAUGGAAGAAAGUUGAAAGGCGCUUUUGCGCCACUGAUGGAUGGACCCGCGGUGCAGUAGCUAGUUGGUGAGGUAACGGCUCACCAAGGCCACGAUGCAUAGCCGACCUGAGAGGGUGAUCGGCCACACUGGGACUGAGACACGGCCCAGACUCCUACGGGAGGCAGCAGUAGGGAAUCUUCGGCAAUGGACGAAAGUCUGACCGAGCAACGCCGCGUGAGUGAAGAAGGUUUUCGGAUCGUAAAACUCUGUUGUUAGAGAAGAACAAGGAUGAGAGUAGAACGUUCAUCCCUUGACGGUAUCUAACCAGAAAGCCACGGCUAACUACGUGCCAGCAGCCGCGGUAAUACGUAGGUGGCAAGCGUUGUCCGGAUUUAUUGGGCGUAAAGCGAGCGCAGGCGGUUUCUUAAGUCUGAUGUGAAAGCCCCCGGCUCAACCGGGGAGGGUCAUUGGAAACUGGGAGACUUGAGUGCAGAAGAGGAGAGUGGAAUUCCAUGUGUAGCGGUGAAAUGCGUAGAUAUAUGGAGGAACACCAGUGGCGAAGGCGGCUCUCUGGUCUGUAACUGACGCUGAGGCUCGAAAGCGUGGGGAGCGAACAGGAUUAGAUACCCUGGUAGUCCACGCCGUAAACGAUGAGUGCUAAGUGUUGGAGGGUUUCCGCCCUUCAGU